GACGUUGAGCAUAAAACUGUUAGAAGUGUGAUUAAGUCGGUCUAGUUUAUGAUGUGCUUUUCAUUUGACUGAUAUUAGAGGCUCUGAAACUAGAGUCAAAAUGAAAUAUUUCGGACUUGAACCACAAGAUUUUGCACUGAAAGUUUGUGUAACAUGUUGCUAUUUUGGGAGGUAAAUGCUUGUGUGAGUUAUAUUUGAACAAACGGUUUAAAAUGGUGUGAUGUUGAGUCUAGGCUACUGUUUUGGCUUGAACAUCAGGAGUUUUUCUGUACCCUCAUGUUAUGCUUAUUAUGAUUGCAUUGGGGACAAUACAUAUUUUUGUGUUUGGAGGGAGGGGUACUUUAUUUUUGAUAAUGACUGUGGUAGAUAGGUAAUAUUAGUGUGAUCGUUUUGGUACCAAUAAAGGUUUAAACUUUGGCAUAUGAGUUGUUGAUUUUGAAAUGGAAAAAGAGAAUGACUGAAGUUGAUGAUUCAUGUUGUGACUUUAAGGUUCAAUUUUUGGUUCUUUGUUCACUAAUAUGUAGUCUUCGUCCAGUUCAACGUAUGUUCGUGGGCUUAGGUAGUGAGUUAUAAAAUUUAAGGGCUCAACACUUUUGCCACUUCGUGGCCACGGAAUAGGUUCGUUAGAAAACGAACUCAACACAUCCGUCCAGUUUAACUAGUUCGUGGACAUGAACGAUGUUCGUGGACUCAGGCACUGAGUUAUAACAUUUGAGGGCUCAGAACUUUUGCCGCCUUCGUGGCCUCGAAGUAGGUUCGUAAAAACGACCUCAACACGUCAGAAUCCAGUUUAACGAGUUCGUUGACACGAACUAUUUUCGUGGAGGCCACGAACUUUGGUCCACCCCUACACUCUUUUAAUUAGUUUUUCAUUCUUGUAGUUGUUUGUUUGUUUUCUUUUGAGUUCUCGGGAACUAGCAUCAGUUACAUCACUGUCUCAGGUGCUAUGGCUAAUCGUUCACUAGUACAACUUACCGACAAGGAGGAACAUCUUGAAAUUGGAGCUUGUCUUUCAGGAACUAUAUAUAAAGGAGUGUGCAGAGGAAUCUUGACGUAUUUGGUAUCAAGAAAGAUGUGACCGUGUUCAUCUUUCAAACCAAGAAUGCUGCCAAAGGCUUUGUCCAACAACUUGAAGAUGCAAAAACAAAAGUAAAAGCAAUAGGAAAAGAUUGCUCAUUCCUUGUUUGUGUCCACUUCGUUAAAGCAUUUAUCAAAACAGACGGAAAAAAGGAAAAAAAGGGAUAUUAUGUUAUUACUGAACCAUUAUCCAAGUUUGAUGCUAAUGGAUUGAAGAUCUUAUUCAAUCACAAAAGUAAACAUUCCUGGCACAAAGAAUCAAAAACUACCCUUAGGUUGGGUGACGGCCCAAAAGAGCUUUUUAGGGAAGUUGGCAAAGCAAUGUAUGCUUUGAACGAAGCUGGUCUUUUUAGCAAUAAAAUUAUGUUUGGAGACGAUGCUAUUCAUAAUCCUAAUGACAACUAUCCAGGUAUUUGGUUUGAGAGUGACCUAAGACUUAGGCUCUCCAAUUGCAAGUGUUUCAAUGAUGAAGAGCAUUGCAAAAUUGCGGAAAAAGAUUGGAUUGACAGGGGCUUGAAAGAAGAUGUUCUUCAAUACACUGAAACACUAUGUUUCAAGUGUUAUUUGAUAUAAACUACUUCAUUUGUAAAGUUUCACAAGAUUGUUGAUAUUUAGGUUUAAUUUUUUACGUCAGAUCUAUUUCUAUAAAACAAUAUACAUAAAUAAGUGUAGUUGUCACA
Long non-coding RNA from Lycium ferocissimum, 1757 nucleotides. RefSeq lists it as uncharacterized. The record is from RefSeq and is a predicted model, not a curated record. NCBI's taxonomy places the organism in Eukaryota, Viridiplantae, Streptophyta, Magnoliopsida, Solanales, Solanaceae. The transcript has 2 exons.